GGCUUUCAUAAUUCUUGAUAUUGUUAGAAAUGUCUUGAAUUCUCUCUUAACUCUUUGUAUAUUUCGAAACUAAUAAUUAUAAUCUUAGCGGUGUUAUUAUUUACUCAUUUGAAUAUGGAAAUAAUGUCUAAGCUUCUAUCCUUACCUUGCUUAUGAUUGGUCAUAAACCGUGCAAGUACUAUCAAAAUUUUGCAAGGGGUUGUUAUUGAUACAGAGGGAAGCAGCAAAGCUAAACAAUAUUUUUCUUCGAAGUGGAAAAACUGCAUGGAUGUGAAAGAUCCUAAGUUCUGAAGAAACAAAAGUUUCAUACUUUAUUGGUAGUUCCAUAGCUACCCUUGAUGGUCCAUGGAAACAAAUAUGGAAGGGCGAUACCCCAACUAAGGUGAAAUGCUUCACCUGGUUGGUCUCCAGAAGGGCAUGUCUCACUCCGGAAAAACUCAAGAAAAGAGGCUUCCAGAUUGUUUCCAGAUGUUUUUUUUUUCAUGAGAAGAAGAGACUAACAGCCACUUAUUCCUACACUAUAGGAGUACUGUUAAGGUGUGGCACAUGGUUCUCACUUCUCAGCAUUUCUCAAGAGGCCUGGGUGAUGCCAGAACAUACUGCUGAUCUUUUGAGCUGUUGGAUGAGGAGGGGGGGGGUGAGCAAGACCCGAAAAAGUGGUGUUCUAUAUUACCUACUUGUAUCUGGUGGGCUAUUUGGAGAAAAAGAAACCUCAGGUGUCAUGAAAAUAUUACUAACACUAUUCAGAAAGUUAAAGAAAAUUACAUUAACAUGUUGUAUUUUUGGUGUAAAGAAGAUGGUAUAGAAGAAGUAGAACAGUUGGUAGAUUUCCUAGGAUCUAUGUAAUGAUGGAAAUAGCUUGUAACUUUUUUGAGGUAGCCAGCAGACCUUAAUGCUGAAGAAUACAACUUUACCUUUAUCAAAAACA
Solanum pennellii is the source of this 928-nucleotide long non-coding RNA. RefSeq lists it as uncharacterized. The transcript is spliced from 2 exons. The record is from RefSeq and is a predicted model, not a curated record. Lineage: Eukaryota; Viridiplantae; Streptophyta; Magnoliopsida; Solanales; Solanaceae.